AACCCCGUAAAAAUGUUAUCAAAGUACUAUUUUGCCUCUUCAUUUAUCAUGAGAUUAUUCUCAAUUUAAUAAAUACAGAAAAUAGUAUAUUUUAAUUUGAUAUUCCUUUCAAAUACUAAUAAGUCUACUUUCCUUCUGCGUUUACAACCAAAAAGUACUCUUCAUUAUUUUCUAUGGCCUUUAAGAUCUGUUAACAAACACAGAAAGCUGGUCUCAAAUGACCCAGAAACCAGGGAUGAGACAUGGCAGGAGAAACAUGCUAAUGGCCCUGCUCAGACAGAACCCACACCCACACCCGUGCCCAGAGGCGGGUCAGGGCAAGGCUGGCGCAGCCAAGCCCAAUACUGUUUUUUUUCUGUAGACACACGUGGACUCCCUUGCUGUCACGUGGCGGAGGACCUGAGAAUGGCCCCUCAGGUCAAGGUCACAUCAUGGCCGGGAGGAGGUCUUGUACCACCCGUGCAGAAAGACUAAUACUCACCUGCACGUGACCACUCGAGCUUUUCUACAGCCAGCCUCCUCCAGGUUCUUAAAAGUGAAAACACUGCUUGGUGUCCUAUUUCUUUGGGGCUAAUGGAAAAUGCCUGCCUACCUAGACUUAUUUUCAUUUUCUCUCAAAAAAAAAAAAAAAAAAUCCUUGCACUUGCAGUUUUCUCAAAUCAUCCUAGGCACAUAGAAAAUAUUUUCAAUUAAAAGUAUCUGAUGUUAGAGGUUAGGGGACUACAGUGGGUUUUUAAAGAACUUUAUUUUGGAUUAUUGUUUAUCUACCAUCCUGAUUAGAUCAUGGAAUAAUUUAGUAUGCUUUUACAUAUUUUACAAAUUUACCGUUUCCAAUAGUUUCUAGUUUUAUUUAAGCUGAACCACAUGCCAUGAUCAUUUCUAGGUCAACGAUGCUGAAUAUCAGCAAUUUCAUAUGGCUCCAUCUGGUUACACUGUGAUUAAGACAUAAUGUUCUUGGAGUUCCCGUCACGGCGCAGUGGUUAACCAACCUGACCAGGAUCCAUGAGGAUGCAGGACUGAUCCCUGGCCUCGCUCAGUGGGUUAAGGAUUUGGAGUUGCCCUGAGCUGUGGUGUAGGCUGCAGACACGUAGGUUGCUAUGGCUGUGGCAUAGGCCAGCGGCUACAGCUCCAAUUCAACCCCUAGCCUGGGAACCUCCAUAUGCUGCGGGUGUGGCCCUAAAAUAGCAUAAAAAAAGAAAAAAUAAGAAAAAAGAACUCAUGUUCUUUCCUUUGAUGAAUGGGUUAGGCUAGCAUUUGGUUAAAACAUCCACUGUACCUUUCUUAUCUUCUGAUGCUCUCCCUGGUCCCGUUCCAACUUAAUAUUUAAUUUUUACUAAGAUCUCCCUGCCUCUUUCUCCUUCUCAUGCCGUAUAAUUCAACAAUUAUUUCAAUCUCUCCUGAAAAUACAGUUUAUAAAUAAAUGGGUUUCAGGUAGCUUCAGAAACAUUACCAAAUCACAGUACUACAAGCUUGAAAAGGCUAGAUCCGCCAUUGGAAGUAAGCAGGUGUUUUGCCUUUUCCUUCCUGAUCACUGAGCUUACAGGUUAAAGAAAGUCCUUUACAGACGAGAACAGUUUAAACCAGCAUCCCUCUCCCAGGAGACAGAAACGCUCUCUCGUUCUCCACACUGCCACCUGGUGGUUCUCCACACGAACCACGCCUCUUGCUCUGGCUUCCAUUCAUAACCCACGAGAGAGAAACAGAGCCCGGGUCUUGGCUUUGGCUCGCCCGGCCUUUGGAAAUCAUGAGCCUACACCGGCACACCCUGCAGACGCCCAGCCCUGACCACGCCUUCUGGAAUUUGGGGGGGUCUGUCUUCCAAAAACUCCAGUGAGGGUGUUCUGGGCUGUGACACUAUUCCAUGGGGCAGAUUUCUGUGGAUAUGUGAUUCUUUGAAGAGCUUUUCACUUGCUAACAACAUAUCCUCUAGGGACCUGCAGGGGACAGGUCUCCCAGAGGAACAGCUAAGCUGUCAACGUAUCCCUUGCCACCAAGGAGAGCCACUGCUUCACUGUGUUUCAAAUGCAAAGUUUGUGGGUAACACCGUGAUGGGAGUCAGGGAGCCCCAAGAGUGAAGCAACAAGAUUUCUUCAACACAUUUUUCAUCCAUAUGUGGAGCUUACAACUCUAGGUGUCAAAGGUAACUUAGCUGUUUUCUAGAACCGCCCAGUGGACUGGGCUGGAGGUCUGACUGUAAGAUUGACAAAAAGCCUCUUUGCUGUGACGCUUCAGAACGUCACUCACACCUCACUUUCUGCCAUCGAUUUUUUUUAAUAGUCGAGGAUUACAAAUCAUAAUAUUAGGGCAAAUGACCCAGAGGUGCUCUGUAUGUUCUCAUCACUGGGCCCAUUUUCCUGGGACAAAGGCUGGGAUGUUACGUUCGUGUGUCUUAGCGUGCUGACAAAAGUUUACGUCCCUCUUCAUUCUUCCCUCUCCUUCCUGUCCUUCUCUACACUGUCACCUUGUCAGGGACACGCUAUGUCAGCCACGUAAGAAUCUAAUUCAUUAGCCAAGAGCGAUGCAGAAGAGCUGUGCAAACUUAUAGCAAUUAAGAUGACUGGGUCACACUGUCACUAACUGCUACUGUCAGGGAAAAACUCGGGGAAGAAAUAAGUCUUGAGAAUGACCUCAGGCAUGUGGUAUAUAAAACUCAUUUACUUAGAGAUGCUGCAACCGUGGUGUGGGUUCGAUCACUGGCCAGGGAACUUCUACAUGGCUGCGAGUGUGGCCAAGAACCAACCAACCAACCAACCAAUAAAACCAGCCAAAAAGGAAAACCAACCAACCAGCCAACCAAACUUAACAAGAAAAAAUUUUACUAGCACCAUGGUGAUGGCUUAUUUGAACUUAAGUUCUCUUCCAGUGAUAAAAUGAAACUAAAAAUUUCUUACAGUUUAAACAUGUGUGAGCAUCUCCAACCCCUAACCAGCUACAGUCAGAUGAUACUGGCUUCAUCUUAAUUCAUGUGGACAGACUCCAUCCAUGAUGCCUCAUCGCAGAAAGCCCAUCACCUACUUACUGAGUAAACACACACGACUCACUGGCAGAGGCGCUGAGAGCGGACGACGACGUUUCCAUUGCUAGUGUUAUUCGGUACCGUGCAGAGGGCAGCGCAUCCACCAGGAGUGACACUG
Molecule: long non-coding RNA, 3134 nt
Filed under: Sus scrofa (pig)
Lineage: Eukaryota; Metazoa; Chordata; Mammalia; Artiodactyla; Suidae
Description: lncRNA (ENSSSCG00015052900.1)
Source: RNAcentral